This 72-nucleotide transfer RNA is filed under the name Brevibacterium aurantiacum. Its description in RNAcentral is "tRNA-Arg". The record is from RNAcentral. Lineage: Bacteria; Bacillati; Actinomycetota; Actinomycetes; Micrococcales; Brevibacteriaceae.
CUUGCCUUCGUCCAGGAGGACACCUGGUUUUCGAGACCAGGCGACCUUCCGAUCGUGCCUGGAAACGCUGGG